AUUGAACGCUGGCGGCAUGCCUUACACAUGCAAGUCGAACGGCAGCGGGGGAGAAGCUUGCUUUUCCUGCCGGCGAGUGGCGAACGGGUGAGUAAUAUAUCGGAACGUGCCCUGUAGUGGGGGAUAACUAGUCGAAAGAUUAGCUAAUACCGCAUACGACCUGAGGGUGAAAGUGGGGGACCGCAAGGCCUCAUGCUAUAGGAGCGGCCGAUGUCUGAUUAGCUAGUUGGUGGGGUAAAGGCCUACCAAGGCGACGAUCAGUAGGUGGUCUGAGAGGACGAUCAGCCACACUGGGACUGAGACACGGCCCAGACUCCUACGGGAGGCAGCAGUGGGGAAUUUUGGACAAUGGGCGAAAGCCUGAUCCAGCAAUGCCGCGUGUGUGAAGAAGGCCUUCGGGUUGUAAAGCACUUUUGUCCGGAAAGAAAUGGCUCUGGUUAAUACCUGGGGUCGAUGACGGUACCGGAAGAAUAAGGACCGGCUAACUACGUGCCAGCCGCCGCGGUAA
RNAcentral lists this ribosomal RNA (508 nucleotides) under uncultured bacterium. Its description in RNAcentral is "partial 16S ribosomal RNA". It matches the Rfam family "Bacterial small subunit ribosomal RNA", at positions 30 to 523 of the family's 1533-position model. The record is from RNAcentral.